AACGAACGCUGGCGGCAGGCCUAGCACAUGCAAGUCGAACGCCGUAGCAAUACGGAGUGGCAGACGGGUGAGUAACACGUGGGAACGUACCCUUCGGUUCGGGAUAACUCAGGGAAACUUGAGCUAAUACCGGAUACGUCCGAGAGGAGAAAGAUUUAUUGCCGAGGGAUCGGCCCNCGUCUGAUUAGCUUGUUGGUGAGGUAAUGGCUCACCAAGGCACGAUCAGUAGCNGGUCUGAGAGGAUGAUCAGCCACAUUGGACUGAGACACGGCCCAAACUCCUACGGGAGGCAGCAGUGGGAAUAUUGGACAAUGGGCGCAAGCCUGAUCCAGCCACGCCGCGUGAGUGAUGAAGGCCCUAGGGUUGUAAAGCUC
Molecule: ribosomal RNA, 374 nt
Filed under: uncultured bacterium
Lineage: Bacteria
Description: bacterial SSU rRNA
Rfam family: Bacterial small subunit ribosomal RNA
Source: RNAcentral